Molecule: ribosomal RNA, 468 nt
Filed under: uncultured bacterium
Lineage: Bacteria
Description: partial 16S ribosomal RNA
Rfam family: Bacterial small subunit ribosomal RNA
Source: RNAcentral
GACGAACGCUGGCGGCGUGCUUAACACAUGCAAGUCGAACGGAAAGGCCCUGCUUUUGUGGGGUGCUCGAGUGGCGAACGGGUGAGUAACACGUGAGUAACCUGCCCUUGACUUUGGGAUAACUUCAGGAAACUGGGGCUAAUACCGGAUAGGAGCUCCUGCUGCAUGGUGGGGGUUGGAAAGUUUCGGCGGUUGGGGCUGGACUCGCGGCUUAUCAGCUUGUUUGUGGGGUAGUGGCUUACCAAGGCUUUGACGGGUAGCCGGCCUGAGAGGGUUACCGGCCACAUUGGGACUGAGAUACGGCCCAGAAUCCUACGGGAGGCAGCAGUGGGGAAUAUUGCACAAUGGGCGGAAGCCUGAUGCAGCAACGCCGCGUGCGGGAUGACGGCCUUCGGGUUGUAAACCGCUUUCGCCUGUGACGAAGCGUGAGUGACGGUAAUGGGUAAAGAAGCACCGGCUAACUACGUG